CAGCCCUUGACAUCCUGCUGGCAGUCCAGUAAUGUGGAUUUUCCCUCGGGACAGCAGAGACAGGUGGUGCAUGGUUGUCGUCAGCUCGUGUCGUGAGAUGUUGGGUUAAGUCCCGCAACGAGCGCAACCCCUGCCUGCAGUAGCCAGCGGACAAAGCCGGGCACUCUGCAGGGACUGCCGGGGAUAACCCGGAGGAAGGCGGGGACGACGUCAAAUCAUCAUGCCCCUUAUGGGCUGGGCUACACACGUGCUACAAUGGCGUCUACAGAGUGAAGCAGACCUGCGAGGGGGAGCAGACCACAAAAAAGACGUCCCAGUUCGGAUUACAGCCUGCAACCCGGCUGUAUGAAGCUGGAAUCGCUAGUAAUCGCAAAUCAGAAUGUUGCGGUGAAUACGUUCCC
Molecule: ribosomal RNA, 401 nt
Filed under: uncultured bacterium
Lineage: Bacteria
Description: bacterial SSU rRNA
Rfam family: Bacterial small subunit ribosomal RNA
Source: RNAcentral